ACGGGGCGCAGCAGGCGCGAAAACUUGGCAAUGCGAGAAAUCGUGACCAGGGAACUCCAAGUGGCUGGGGUAAGACCCAGUCUUUUCUUGACUCUUCAAAGGUCUUGGAAUAAGAGGUGGGUAAGGACGGUGCCAGCCGCCGCGGUAAUACCGGCGCCUCAAGUGGUAGUCGAUUUUAUUGGGCCUAAAACGUCCGUAGCCGGUUUGGUACAUUCGUGGGUAAAUCAACCAGCUCAACUGGUUGAAUUCUGCGAGCACGGCCAGACUUGGGACCGGGAGAGGUGUGGGGUACGCUCAGGGUAGGGGUAAAAUCCUGUCAUCCUGAGCGGACCACCUGUUGCGAAGGCGCCACACUAGAACGGAUCCGACGGUCAGGGACGAAGCCUAGGGGCACGAACCGGAUUAGAUACCCGGGUAGUCCUAGGUGUAAACGCUGUGGACUUGGUGUUGGGGAUUCUCCGAGGAUUCUCAGUGCCGAAGCGAAGGUGAUAAGUCCACUGCCUGGGGAGUACGGUCGCAAGGCUGAAACUUAAAGGAAUUGGCGGGGGAGCAC
This 553-nucleotide ribosomal RNA is filed under the name uncultured archaeon. RNAcentral describes it as "bacterial SSU rRNA". It matches the Rfam family "Archaeal small subunit ribosomal RNA", at positions 325 to 879 of the family's 1478-position model. The record is from RNAcentral.